Molecule: ribosomal RNA, 729 nt
Filed under: uncultured bacterium
Lineage: Bacteria
Description: bacterial SSU rRNA
Rfam family: Bacterial small subunit ribosomal RNA
Source: RNAcentral
AACAGGAUUAGAUACCCUGGUAGUCCACGCCGUAAACGAUGUCGACUUGGAGGUUGUGCCCUUGAGGCGUGGCUUCCGGAGCUAACGCGUUAAGUCGACCGCCUGGGGAGUACGGCCGCAAGGUUAAAACUCAAAUGAAUUGACGGGGGCCCGCACAAGCGGUGGAGCAUGUGGUUUAAUUCGAUGCAACGCGAAGAACCUUACCUACUCUUGACAUCCAGAGAACUUUCCAGAGAUGGAUUGGUGCCUUCGGGAACUCUGAGACAGGUGCUGCAUGGCUGUCGUCAGCUCGUGUUGUGAAAUGUUGGGUUAAGUCCCGCAACGAGCGCAACCCUUAUCCUUUGUUGCCAGCGGUUAGGCCGGGAACUCAAAGGAGACUGCCAGUGAUAAACUGGAGGAAGGUGGGGAUGACGUCAAGUCAUCAUGGCCCUUACGAGUAGGGCUACACACGUGCUACAAUGGCGCAUACAAAGAGAAGCGACCUCGCGAGAGCAAGCGGACCUCAUAAAGUGCGUCGUAGUCCGGAUUGGAGUCUGCAACUCGACUCCAUGAAGUCGGAAUCGCUAGUAAUCGUAGAUCAGAAUGCUACGGUGAAUACGUUCCCGGGCCUUGUACACACCGCCCGUCACACCAUGGGAGUGGGUUGCAAAAGAAGUAGGUAGCUUAACCUUCGGGAGGGCGCUUACCACUUUGUGAUUCAUGACUGGGGUGAAGUGUAACAAGGUAACC